CAGGAGCACUGCUGAUCCUGAAGAAGUUCUCUUUGGGUUGAUCUUGUGAAAUAUUUUAUAUUUAUUUUCCUCAGCUGUGUAUCUGUGUUUAUAUCUGUCCAGUUAAAGUCCACUUCCUGGUCACUGGAAAAGCCCUGGGUGCUGACCAGGUGUUCAAAGACAAGCUGAUGAAGAGCACUGGGAUUGAAGAGAGCACUGAGGAAGAGUGUGAUGCGCUCGUAGUCUUCUGUCCCGUCAGCUCUCGGAUAGGGACUGACAUCGACGCUGCCCUCCAGAACAUUCCAGGGGACAAGCCCGCCGCCCUGGUGGUGAUGCACCACACCUACAACCCCGAGGCAGUUGUGGCUGAGAGCAGCAGACUGGUGACCAGGAGAGACACUGUGACUGUGGACUGUCUGUUCCAUGAGACAGUCGGGCUGCUGGACAACUGUCCCAUCAAUGAGCAGGCUGUGAGACGGGUCUCUGAUAGAUUAAAGAAGUUUGUUGAGUAAAAAAAAUAAAUAAAUACUGCUCCACUGAGUGCAGCCUUUCACAAAGAAAAUUAUCCUUUAACAGUAGAUUAAUAAAAAAGCGUGAUGGUGAGGUAAUAUUCUUGAAUAUUAUGAACAAAAUGCCAAGAGUUUCAGUAGAGGUCAGGGACAGUUCAAAACAGACUUUCUGAAGGAUGAAGGAUAAAGGUAUUAAAACUGAAUGUAUAAAAUCUUUUGACUGCUGAACAGUCUGCUUGCGGUUUUAUAAAAUAUCCCUUGAUCAGCGACGUGCAGUGUUUUAUUUUCGUAACUGACGGUGCCAUGUACCCGUUACCCGGAAACUCUUAAAGACUUAC
Molecule: long non-coding RNA, 826 nt
Filed under: Lepisosteus oculatus (spotted gar)
Lineage: Eukaryota; Metazoa; Chordata; Actinopteri; Semionotiformes; Lepisosteidae
Description: lncRNA (ENSLOCG00000021457.1)
Source: RNAcentral